This is a transfer RNA of Ovis aries (sheep), 72 nucleotides long. It matches the Rfam family "tRNA". From Rfam's summary of the family: Transfer RNA (tRNA) molecules are approximately 80 nucleotides in length. Their secondary structure includes four short double-helical elements and three loops (D, anti-codon, and T loops). Further hydrogen bonds mediate the characteristic L-shaped molecular structure. tRNAs have two regions of fundamental functional importance: the anti-codon, which is responsible for specific mRNA codon recognition, and the 3' end, to which the tRNAs corresponding amino acid is attached (by aminoacyl-tRNA synthetases). tRNAs cope with the degeneracy of the genetic code in two manners: having more than one tRNA (with a specific anti-codon) for a particular amino acid; and 'wobble' base-pairing, i.e. permitting non-standard base-pairing at the 3rd anti-codon position. The record is from Rfam. NCBI's taxonomy places the organism in Eukaryota, Metazoa, Chordata, Mammalia, Artiodactyla, Bovidae.
UCCCUGGUAGCUCAGAUGGUAAAGAAUCUGCCUGCAAUGCAGAAGACCUGGGUUUAAUCCCUGGAUUGGGAA